CAAGCUCUGCGGUGUGCGUGAUAAUUCGGUAUUAAAACCCACGAUAGAAUAAAGGGGAUCCGGCUUCCUGAUGUGGGAUGCAGGCCUCCCGUAACCGGCAGCUUGCCGGUUGCGGACGUUGGAAGCGCAAAGCUCAGGAGAGGAUAUACCCGCCUUGCGAGAGCAGGGUUUCUAAUCGCCGGGUUACACGGCACGGUGGGGCGCUU
This 206-nucleotide non-coding RNA is filed under the name Bacillota bacterium. RNAcentral describes it as "6S RNA". It matches the Rfam family "6S / SsrS RNA". Rfam says of the family: E. coli 6S RNA was the first non coding RNA to be sequenced, but its function was unknown until recently. The record is from RNAcentral. Lineage: Bacteria; Bacillati; Bacillota. RNAcentral also lists the same sequence under 1 other name.